GGUAUUAUACUUUAUAAACAGAAGGCAUGAUUUGCAAUCAUAAAGAAAGAUUUUUAUCUUUAACACCA
RNAcentral lists this transfer RNA (68 nucleotides) under Histioteuthis reversa. Its description in RNAcentral is "tRNA-Ala". Lineage: Eukaryota; Metazoa; Mollusca; Cephalopoda; Oegopsida; Histioteuthidae. The record is from RNAcentral.